AUGCAGUCGAGCGGGGUUUUCGGACCUAGCGGCGGACGGGUGAGUAAUGCGUAGGAAGCUGCCCGAUAGAGGGGGAUACCAGUUGGAAACGACUGUUAAUACCGCAUAAUGUCUACGGACCAAAGUGUGGGACCUUCGGGCCACAUGCUAUCGGAUGCGCCUACGUGGGAUUAGCUAUUUGGUGAGGUAAUGGCUCACCAAGGCGACGAUCUCUAGCUGGUUUGAGAGGAUGAUCAGCCACACUGGAACUGAGACACGGUCCAGACUCCUACGGGAGGCAGCAGUGGGGAAUAUUGGACAAUGGGCGCAAGCCUGAUCCAGCCAUGCCGCGUGUGUGAAGAAGGCCUUCGGGUUGUAAAGCACUUUCAGCGAGGAGGAAGGGUGGUGUGUUAAUAGCACAUCAUUUUGACGUUACUCGCAGAAGAAGCACCGGCUAACUCUGUGCCAGCAGCCGCGGUAAUACAGAGGGUGCAAGCGUUAAUCGGAAUUACUGGGCGUAAAGCGCACGUAGGCGGUUCGUUAAGUUGGAUGUGAAAGCCCCGGGCUCAACCUGGGAAUUGCAUUCAAAACUGGCCAACUAGAGUAUGUGAG
Molecule: ribosomal RNA, 591 nt
Filed under: uncultured bacterium
Lineage: Bacteria
Description: bacterial SSU rRNA
Rfam family: Bacterial small subunit ribosomal RNA
Source: RNAcentral